RNAcentral lists this ribosomal RNA (253 nucleotides) under uncultured bacterium. RNAcentral describes it as "partial 16S ribosomal RNA". It matches the Rfam family "Bacterial small subunit ribosomal RNA", at positions 524 to 776 of the family's 1533-position model. The record is from RNAcentral.
UACGGGGGGUGCGAGCGUUGUCCGGAAUCACUGGGCGUAAAGGGCGCGUAGGUGGUUUGAUAAGGGUGUGGUGAAAGUCCGGGGCUCAACCCCGGAUCUGCCGUGCCGACUGUCAAACUCGAGGGCUGUAGAGGCAGACGGAAUUCCGGGUGUAGCGGUGGAAUGCGUAGAGAUCCGGAGGAAGACCGGUGGCGAAGGCGGCACGCUGGACCUCUUCUGACGCUGAGGCGCGAAAGCCAGGGGAGCAAACGGG